This 1689-nucleotide ribosomal RNA is filed under the name Escherichia coli. RNAcentral's name for it is "partial 23S ribosomal RNA". It matches the Rfam family "Bacterial large subunit ribosomal RNA", at positions 1270 to 2925 of the family's 2925-position model. Lineage: Bacteria; Pseudomonadati; Pseudomonadota; Gammaproteobacteria; Enterobacterales; Enterobacteriaceae. The record is from RNAcentral.
AUGCUGGAGGUAUCAGAAGUGCGAAUGCUGACAUAAGUAACGAUAAAGCGGGUGAAAAGCCCGCUCGCCGGAAGACCAAGGGUUCCUGUCCAACGUUAAUCGGGGCAGGGUGAGUCGACCCCUAAGGCGAGGCCGAAAGGCGUAGUCGAUGGGAAACAGGUUAAUAUUCCUGUACUUGGUGUUACUGCGAAGGGGGGACGGAGAAGGCUAUGUUGGCCGGGCGACGGUUGUCCCGGUUUAAGCGUGUAGGCUGAUUUUCCAGGCAAAUCCGGAAAAUCAAGGCUGAGGCGUGAUGACGAGGCACUACGGUGCUGAAGCAACAAAUGCCCUGCUUCCAGGAAAAGCCUCUAAGCAUCAGGUAACAUCAAAUCGUACCCCAAACCGACACAGGUGGUCAGGUAGAGAAUACCAAGGCGCUUGAGAGAACUCGGGUGAAGGAACUAGGCAAAAUGGUGCCGUAACUUCGGGAGAAGGCACGCUGAUAUGUAGGUGAAGUCCCUCGCGGAUGGAGCUGAAAUCAGUCGAAGAUACCAGCUGGCUGCAACUGUUUAUUAAAAACACAGCACUGUGCAAACACGAAAGUGGACGUAUACGGUGUGACGCCUGCCCGGUGCCGGAAGGUUAAUUGAUGGGGUUAGCGGUAACGCGAAGCUCUUGAUCGAAGCCCCGGUAAACGGCGGCCGUAACUAUAACGGUCCUAAGGUAGCGAAAUUCCUUGUCGGGUAAGUUCCGACCUGCACGAAUGGCGUAAUGAUGGCCAGGCUGUCUCCACCCGAGACUCAGUGAAAUUGAACUCGCUGUGAAGAUGCAGUGUACCCGCGGCAAGACGGAAAGACCCCGUGAACCUUUACUAUAGCUUGACACUGAACAUUGAGCCUUGAUGUGUAGGAUAGGUGGGAGGCUUUGAAGUGUGGACGCCAGUCUGCAUGGAGCCGACCUUGAAAUACCACCCUUUAAUGUUUGAUGUUCUAACGUUGGCCCCUGAUCGGGGUUGCGGACAGUGUCUGGUGGGUAGUUUGACUGGGGCGGUCUCCUCCUAAAGAGUAACGGAGGAGCACGAAGGUUGGCUAAUCCUGGUCGGACAUCAGGAGGUUAGUGCAAUGGCAUAAGCCAGCUUGACUGCGAGCGUGACGGCGCGAGCAGGUGCGAAAGCAGGUCAUAGUGAUCCGGUGGUUCUGAAUGGAAGGGCCAUCGCUCAACGGAUAAAAGGUACUCCGGGGAUAACAGGCUGAUACCGCCCAAGAGUUCAUAUCGACGGCGGUGUUUGGCACCUCGAUGUCGGCUCAUCACAUCCUGGGGCUGAAGUAGGUCCCAAGGGUAUGGCUGUUCGCCAUUUAAAGUGGUACGCGAGCUGGGUUUAGAACGUCGUGAGACAGUUCGGUCCCUAUCUGCCGUGGGCGCUGGAGAACUGAGGGGGGCUGCUCCUAGUACGAGAGGACCGGAGUGGACGCAUCACUGGUGUUCGGGUUGUCAUGCCAAUGGCACUGCCCGGUAGCUAAAUGCGGAAGAGAUAAGUGCUGAAAGCAUCUAAGCACGAAACUUGCCCCGAGAUGAGUUCUCCCUGACUCCUUGAGAGUCCUGAAGGAACGUUGAAGACGACGACGUUGAUAGGCCGGGUGUGUAAGCGCAGCGAUGCGUUGAGCUAACCGGUACUAAUGAACCGUGAGGCUUAACCUUACAACGCCGAAG